Molecule: long non-coding RNA, 1738 nt
Organism: Papaver somniferum (opium poppy)
Lineage: Eukaryota; Viridiplantae; Streptophyta; Magnoliopsida; Ranunculales; Papaveraceae
Exons: 5
Source: RefSeq, a predicted model, not a curated record
UUAUGUGAGCUAGUAGCCUAGUAGUGAUUUGGUCCUAGGAAUAGUUUAUUCUUGAUUCAAACGGAUCCGCGCUACGAGUUAGGCGAAAACUAAAAAACGAGAAGAGUGUAAUUCGAGUGUAACAAAACGAAAAAAGAAAAACACUCAACCACAAAAUGUGAAGCCCUAGAAAUAGCCACAAUAGAGAGUGUAAAAGCUAGAUGUAGAAAAAGAGUGAGCGGCAGAGCUGUGGCGAUUUUGAUUUGAAGGGUUUCAAAGUUCAGAUCCAUAUUUGAUUUUUGUGAUAAUUAUACCAGAGAGUUGUUAGAAGAGAAUUUGAUAGAUAGAUCCAAGUUGUUUAGGCUGUUUUGUUCUUAAGAAAGGUUCUCAAGGAAAACAAGAAAAAAGAGAUGGGUUUUUCUACGGAUCAGUUGUAUGAUCAUUGGUAUGAGCGGAGUCGGAAUUUGGGAUUUUAACCUCAUAAAGAGGCGAAAGGAAAGAGCAAAUGAAGCAGAGAGAGGUUUCAACACUAGCCAUUCUCCACAAUUGUUCUACAAAUAUCCCACGUCUCUCAUGCAUAAAGAUGCUUCUGAAAAUCUCAGAAGCAACAAGUUCCAGCGGAAUUGACUCAGGUCCACAUUAAGACCGACUGGAAUAGAGCAGAAGUUGAGGCGAUCUGCACAAAGACCUCAAGUGGAAAUUUCGGCGAUUCAGGCCGAGACAGAGCUGGAACAUGUCGGAAAGCAGGAAAACAUCCGAAUGGGGAUGGCAAAUAAAAAACGGCUCGAGCGGACUCGGAAAUUUGGUAAGCACAUUUAUUUUGGAGUUGUGAGCAGAAUCCUUGAUUCUACAUUUAGUGUCAUCAUACUUGUUUCUUUGUUGAGUGAGUCCUUGAUUGUUAUCGGACUAUGAGGUUGGUAUGCAAGUAUAGUUGAUGAGAUUAGUUUGCAGGGGGUUUCUUAAUGGUUUGAAGCAAUCUUUGUACUUACCGGAUAAUUACAUUGUAGAGGAUGUCAAGAAGCAUGUCCAGGUUAUGCGGCUGAACUUUUCGAAGAGGAAUUUGCCAAGUUUGGGAGUGUGUAUACACCCAAUCAACUGAUUACAGAAAUGAGUUAUGGUGUGACAAUCAGUUAGCACUAGUGGUUGCAAGCACGACAUAUAACUGAUCAGAGUUUGUGUCAACAAUGUCAUCAGCUCUAAUAAAGGCAGACCUAGAAAAGGGAUAGACAGAUGUGUGGGAAGGAGUAUGAGUCAGAGGGAAUUGUGUUUGAGUACUUCUUGAGGUCAGGUCAUGAGCUAUUGAAGGGGCAGUCAUAGUUUUCUUGGCUAUCAUCAUGAGAUUCUUAAGGCAACAAAGGCUAAUGGAGAAGACAGUUCACAGAUGAUAAAGGGUAUGGUUUUAAAUCUGGGUUUUCAUUCAGAAAUUUGAAGGUUUCUUUGGUUUUUUGUAAUACUUCACACGGAAAGUUUGAUAAUUUCAAUCAGUCUGUAUUUUUCACUGAAGUGUUAUAGAGAUCCUAACUAGUGUAGGGAUUUGAUGAUGUUUAUUAGGCAAGUGGGUAUUCAUUCAGAAACUUGAAGAUUUACUUGGUUAUUUGUAAUACUUCACACGGGAAGUUUGAUAAGUUCAAUCAGUCUGUAUUUUUCUCUGAAGUGUUAUAGAGAUCCUACCUAGAGUAGGGAUUUGAUGAUGUUUAUUAGGCAAGAGAGAUGGUUUAUCUCUGUUGUUAUUGGGAAUCAAUUAAAUUAUCUGGUUGAA